Molecule: ribosomal RNA, 468 nt
Filed under: uncultured bacterium
Lineage: Bacteria
Description: partial 16S ribosomal RNA
Rfam family: Bacterial small subunit ribosomal RNA
Source: RNAcentral
GACGAACGCUGGCGGCGUGCUUAACACAUGCAAGUCGAACGGAAAGGCCCUGCUUUUGUGGGGUGCUCGAGUGGCGAACGGGUGAGUAACACGUGAGUAACCUGCCCUUGACUUUGGGAUAACUUCAGGAAACUGGGGCUAAUACCGGAUAGGAGCUCCUGCUGCAUGGUGGGGGUUGGAAAGUUACGGCGGUUGGGGAUGGACUCGCGGCUUAUCAGCUUGUUGGUGGGGUAGUGGCUUACCAAGGCUUUGACGGGUAGCCGGCCUGAGAGGGUGACCGGCCACAUUGGGACUGAGAUACGGCCCAGACUCCUACGGGAGGCAGCAGUGGGGAAUAUUGCGCAAUGGGCGGAAGCCUGAUGCAGCAACGCCGCGUGCGGGAUGACGGCCUUCGGGUUGUAAACCGCUUUCGCCUGUGACGAAGCGUGAUUGACGGUAAUGGGUAAAGAAGCACCGGCUAACUACGUG